Non-coding RNA from Methylosinus sp. R-45379, 73 nucleotides. The record is from Rfam. Lineage: Bacteria; Pseudomonadati; Pseudomonadota; Alphaproteobacteria; Hyphomicrobiales; Methylocystaceae.
GGGCGGUUAGCUCAGUUGGUAGAGCGUCUCGUUUACACCGAGAAUGUCGGCGGUUCGAGCCCGUCACCGCCCA